RNAcentral lists this ribosomal RNA (388 nucleotides) under Mediterraneibacter gnavus. Its description in RNAcentral is "bacterial LSU rRNA". It matches the Rfam family "Bacterial large subunit ribosomal RNA", at positions 1551 to 1956 of the family's 2925-position model. The record is from RNAcentral. Lineage: Bacteria; Bacillati; Bacillota; Clostridia; Lachnospirales; Lachnospiraceae.
CAAUCUGAAGACGUGAUGUGGGGCGUAAAGCCGGAAGUAUGUGAGCUGGCUGCCAAGAAAAGCCGCUAUUGUUUAUGAUAUACCCGUACCGUAAACCGACACAGGUGGAUGAGGAGAGAAUCCUAAGGCCGACGGGAGAAGCAUUGUUAAGGAACUCGGCAAAAUGACUCCGUAACUUCGGGAGAAGGAGUGCCAUGUAAAAGUGGCCGCAGAGAAUUGGCCCAAGCAACUGUUUAGCAAAAACACAGGUCUAUGCAAAACCGAAAGGUGAGGUAUAUGGGCUGACGCCUGCCCGGUGCUGGAAGGUUAAGGGGAGAGGUUAGCCGUAAGGCGAAGCUUUGAACUUAAGCCCCAGUAAACGGCGGCCGUAACUAUAACGGUCCUAAGG